GUGGGCUCUUUAUAAGGUGACUGCCACCGUGGGCCAGGUAUGCAGCAGGGGUUGAGCUAGUCGUUUGGCUUUUCCGGUGGUGGUGACUCUUCCGGUCAUUAGGCUGUUCCGGUCGGUGGUUCUCUCCUGGGUGGCAGCCGGUUUUGAGAUUUCGCUCCGGUACAGAGGAUUAUCGAUCGCUCUGCGUUGUGUUGUGUUGUGCUGUGCUGUGCUGUGCUUUGCACUGGGUGCGUUCUAAGGGCUUUGCGCCCCUGAGUGUUUUUGAUCAUCGUGACCGCAGUCACAUAGGUCUCGUGGGCAGACUCGUUCCCCCCCCCUCCCCACGCAUUGUUUGGUCGUCGUCCAGUGUGUGUGCUAACCCUUUCCGCUGUGGUUGUAGGGUGCUGAUCGCCAGGGUCAUCCUUUGCUUGCUGCUGUUUUGCCUCUGUUUGUUCUUCCUUAUUGAUUGCCGUGUCUUGUCAUUGUGUCUUGGUG
Molecule: long non-coding RNA, 474 nt
Organism: Sardina pilchardus (European sardine)
Lineage: Eukaryota; Metazoa; Chordata; Actinopteri; Clupeiformes; Clupeidae
Exons: 4
Source: RefSeq, a predicted model, not a curated record